UUGUGGAAUUAUUUGUCUUCCGAUUAUAGAGAAACGGCUACUUUGGGUAGUUUUAAGAAACAGAUUAAUGGGUCAAAUAAUAAUAAUAGUCAAAAUUACUUCAAUUUAAGCUUUGGAACAAGAUUCUGU
This is a long non-coding RNA of Haliotis rubra (blacklip abalone), 129 nucleotides long. RefSeq lists it as uncharacterized. The record is from RefSeq and is a predicted model, not a curated record. The transcript is spliced from 3 exons. Lineage: Eukaryota; Metazoa; Mollusca; Gastropoda; Lepetellida; Haliotidae.